Long non-coding RNA from Amphiprion ocellaris (clown anemonefish), 293 nucleotides. RefSeq lists it as uncharacterized. The record is from RefSeq and is a predicted model, not a curated record. The transcript has 3 exons. Lineage: Eukaryota; Metazoa; Chordata; Actinopteri; Pomacentridae.
CAGUGUCUCAUGUGGCCCUGCAGCUUCUCCUCCUCCACCUCCUCCUGAAGCCUUCAUCUUCUUCAUCAUCAGCUGCUCAGUGACUCUGUUGGACGUCUCACCGUGUGGCAGCAGCUCAGGAGUUUGCAGUCAACCAAGGCCGACUCAGAAUCACUCCCACCGGGAAGAUCUGUGAAGGAAGGUCCACCCGGCUGGUCCAGAAGCUCCGGUCCAGCAGAGCAGCGUCAGGAUGGAGACGUAACCGGUGUUGAUGUCACCGCCUUGACGAAUAGAAGAAAAGGGCAAAAUUUGCA